CCCUUAGAUGUUCUGGGCUGCACACGUGCUACACUGGUAGGUUCAGCGAGCUUCAUGCCCUGAUCUGAAAGGAAUGGGAAAUCUUUUCAAAACCUGCCGUGCUUGGGAUAGAUGUUUGCAAUUAUUCAUCUUCAACGAGGAUUGCCUUGUAAGCGCACGUCAUCAGCGUGCAUUGAAUACGACCCUGUAUUCUGUACACACCGCCCGUCGCUCCUACCGAUUGAAGUUUUCGGUGAGUUGACAGGAGGAUUUUUUUGAAACUGGUUCGCCAGUGGAUUUUAGAUCCAAAUGCCAACGAAUCGAGGGCUUUAGAGGAAGGAGAAGUCGUAACA
RNAcentral lists this ribosomal RNA (332 nucleotides) under uncultured eukaryote. RNAcentral describes it as "partial 18S ribosomal RNA". It matches the Rfam family "Eukaryotic small subunit ribosomal RNA", at positions 1470 to 1796 of the family's 1831-position model. The record is from RNAcentral.